GACGAACGCUGGCGGCGUGCCUAAUACAUGCAAGUUGAGCGAUGAAGAUUGGUGCUUGCACCAAUUUGAAGAGCAGCGAACGGGUGAGUAACGCGUGGGGAAUCUGCCUUUGAGCGGGGGACAACAUUUGGAAACGAAUGCUAAUACCGCAUAACAACUUUAAACAUAAGUUUUAAGUUUGAAAGAUGCAAUUGCAUCACUCAAAGAUGAUCCCGCGUUGUAUUAGCUAGUUGGUGAGGUAAAGGCUCACCAAGGCGAGGAUACAUAGCCGACCUGAGAGGGUGAUCGGCCACCUUGGGACUGAGACACGGCCCAAACUCCUACGGGAGGCAGCAGUAGGGCAUCUGCGGCAAUGGACGAAAGUCUGACCGAGCAACGCCGCGUGAGUGAAGAAGGUUUUCGGAUCGUAAAACUCUGUUGGUAGAGAAGAACGUUGGUGAGAGUGGAAAGCUCAUCAAGUGACGGUAACUACCCAGAAAGGGACGGCUAACUACGUG
Molecule: ribosomal RNA, 497 nt
Filed under: uncultured bacterium
Lineage: Bacteria
Description: partial 16S ribosomal RNA
Rfam family: Bacterial small subunit ribosomal RNA
Source: RNAcentral